GGUGAGUAACACGUGGGUAACCUGCCUGUAAGACUGGGAUAACUCCGGGAAACCGGGGCUAAUACCGGAUGGUUGUUUGAACCGCAUGGUUCAAACAUAAAAGGUGGCUUCGGCUACCACUUACAGAUGGACCCGCGGCGCAUUAGCUAGUUGGUGAGGUAACGGCUCACCAAGGCAACGAUGCGUAGCCGACCUGAGAGGGUGAUCGGCCACACUGGGACUGAGACACGGCCCAGACUCCUACGGGAGGCAGCAGUAGGGAAUCUUCCGCAAUGGACGAAAGUCUGACGGAGCAACGCCGCGUGAGUGAUGAAGGUUUUCGGAUUGUAAAGCUCUGUUGUUAGGGAAGAACAAGUACCGUUCGAAUAGGGCGGUACCUUGACGGUACCUAACCAGAAAGCCACGGCUAACUACGUGCCAGCAGCCGCGGUAAUACGUAGGUGGCAAGCGUUGUCCGGAAUUAUUGGGCGUAAAGGGCUCGCAGGCGGUUUCUUAAGUCUGAUGUGAAAGCCCCCGGCUCAACCGGGGAGGGUCAUUGGAAACUGGGGAACUUGAGUGCANAAGANGAGAGUGGAAUUCCACGUGUAGCGGUGAAAUGCGUAGAGAUGUGGAGGAACACCAGUGGCGAANGCGACUCUCUGGUCUGUAACUGACGCUGANGAGCNAAAGCGUGGGGAGCGAACAGGAUUANAUACCCUGGUAGUCCACGCC
Molecule: ribosomal RNA, 711 nt
Filed under: uncultured bacterium
Lineage: Bacteria
Description: bacterial SSU rRNA
Rfam family: Bacterial small subunit ribosomal RNA
Source: RNAcentral